RNAcentral lists this transfer RNA (72 nucleotides) under Bacteroides phage crAss001. Its description in RNAcentral is "tRNA-Ile". It matches the Rfam family "tRNA". Rfam says of the family: Transfer RNA (tRNA) molecules are approximately 80 nucleotides in length. The record is from RNAcentral. Lineage: Duplodnaviria; Heunggongvirae; Uroviricota; Caudoviricetes; Crassvirales; Steigviridae.
GGUACAUCUUCUAAAGGUUAGGAAACAUCUCUGAUAAGGAUGCAAUCACAGUUCAAUUCUGUGUGUACCAAC